Molecule: transfer RNA, 70 nt
Filed under: Aphelocoma coerulescens (scrub jay)
Lineage: Eukaryota; Metazoa; Chordata; Aves; Passeriformes; Corvidae
Description: tRNA-Val
Rfam family: tRNA
About the family: Transfer RNA (tRNA) molecules are approximately 80 nucleotides in length. Their secondary structure includes four short double-helical elements and three loops (D, anti-codon, and T loops).
Source: RNAcentral
CAAGACGUAGCUUAAGCAAAAGCAUUCAGUUUACACCUGAAAGAUAUCUGCUGACACCGGAUCGUCUUGA